This 500-nucleotide ribosomal RNA is filed under the name uncultured bacterium. RNAcentral describes it as "bacterial SSU rRNA". It matches the Rfam family "Bacterial small subunit ribosomal RNA", at positions 28 to 573 of the family's 1533-position model. The record is from RNAcentral.
AUUGAACGCUGGUGGCAUGGCUAAAACAUGCAAGUCGAACGGACCCGCAAGGGUUAGUGGCGGAAGGGUGAGUAAAAGUAUCGAAUGUACCCCGAGGUGUGGGAUAGGCAUGGGAAACUGUGCGUAAUACCGCAUGAGCACUACGGUGGAAAGGCGCAAGCCGCCUUGGGAGCAGCGAUAUACCUAUCAGGUAGUUGGCGGGGUAAAGGCCCACCAAGCCGAAGACGGGUAGCCGGUAUGAGAGUACGGCCGGCCACAUCGGGACUGAGACACUGCCCGGACUCCUACGGGAGGCUGCAGUAACGAAUAUUCCGCAAUGCGCGAAAGCGUGACGGAGCAAUGCCGCGUGCAGGAUGAAGCGGUUUCGCCGUGUAAACUGCUGUCAGGGUCGGAAAUACUGAUCUGCCCCAGAGGGAGAGACGGCUAACCCUGUGCCAGCAGCCGCGGUAAUACAGGGGUCUCGAGCGUUAAUCGGAAUCACUGGGCUUAAAGGGUGCGUA